GUAGGUGGCAAGCGUUGUCCGGAAUUAUUGGGCGUAAAGCGCGCGCAGGCGGUUCUUUAAGUCUGAUGUGAAAGCCCACGGCUCAACCGUGGAGGGUCAUUGGAAACUGGAGAACUUGAGUACAGAAGAGGAAAGCGGAAUUCCACGUGUAGCGGUGAAAUGCGUAGAGAUGUGGAGGAACACCAGUGGCGAAGGCGGCUUUCUGGUCUGUAACUGACGCUGAGGCGCGAAGCGUGGGGAGCAAACAGGGAUUAGAUACCCUGGUAGUCCACGCCGUAAACGAUGAGUGCUAAGUGUUAGGGGGUUUCCGCCCCCUUAGUGCUGCAGCUAACGCAUUAAGCACUCCGCCUGGGGAUACGGCCGCAAGGCUG
This 371-nucleotide ribosomal RNA is filed under the name uncultured organism. Its description in RNAcentral is "partial 16S ribosomal RNA". It matches the Rfam family "Bacterial small subunit ribosomal RNA", at positions 527 to 896 of the family's 1533-position model. The record is from RNAcentral.